AGAGUUUGAUCAUGGCUCAGAUUGAACGCUGGCUGCACGCUUAACACAUGCAAGUCGGACGGCAGCACAGUCUAGCGCAAGUUAGAUGGGUGGCGAGUGGCGGACGGGUGAGUAAUACAUAGGGACCUGCCCUUGAGAGGAGGAUAACCUGGGGAAACUCAGGCUAAUACUGCGUACGCUCGGGAGAGGAAAGCUGGGGACCCCGCAAGGGGCCUGGCGCUCGAGGAGGGGACUAUGUCGGAUUAGCCAGUUGGUGGGGUAAUGGCCUACCAAGGCGACGAUCCGUAGCUGGUCUGAGAGGACGGACAGCCACACUGGGACUGAGACACGGCCCAGACUCCUACGGGAGGCAGCAGUGGGGAAUAUUGGACAAUGGGGGCAACCCUGAUCCAGCGAUGCAGUGUGUGUGAAGAAGGCCUGCGGGUUGUAAAGCACUUUCGGUUGGGAAGAAGGCAUUUGGGUGAAUAGCCCAGAUGUUUGACGUACUGACAUAA
This 494-nucleotide ribosomal RNA is filed under the name uncultured delta proteobacterium. Its description in RNAcentral is "bacterial SSU rRNA". It matches the Rfam family "Bacterial small subunit ribosomal RNA", at positions 8 to 486 of the family's 1533-position model. Lineage: Bacteria; Deltaproteobacteria. The record is from RNAcentral.